CAUAAUAAGAGCACCCAUACUAUCUCUGACAACACCACCACCUCCACAAAUACCAUCUCUACAGCUACCAUCACUAUUAAGCUUGACAAAAAGCAGUGGUGGCUUGAUCCACCUAACCAAAGCCACAGAUUUCUAAGUCAUUGAAGCAUCACACAGAUGACAGAUACUCUUCCAGCUCUCACCUACUCAAACCUUGCCAAACUGAGAAUGCAACAGGUGAGAUAAGGAGUAUGUGAUCAAUGCCUUGGAUCUAUUGAGUGAUGGUUUUUCAGAACCAUAUUUAUUGCUGCACCUGGACCUCCACAGCUCCCAGCAAACCAAAGGAGGCAUGACCUUAGUAAUAUAUGAAGCCACAGGAUUAAGGACCUUGUGGUUCCACCAAUUAAGAAGUAGCAUUCAACAAUUGAUGUUCCCAAACCAGUUGAGCAAAAACACCAGAGCAAAAGAGAUGCUCAACAGAUUCUAAGCUUGAGUUCACAGUAGAGUCAACACAGCAAUAACAUUUAGGGGAAAGAGAAUGACCAAACCUGGACACUCUCUCAUCAGUUGGGAGUUUAUCAUGGACUGCUCUCCAGGUAAGAAAUGCCAUUUUAAAAGGCACAUCCCUAUGCCAUAUCUUUGAAUCUAAAAAGGACACCUCUUUUUUCUGUCUAAGCAUAUUCCAGGCUGAAGCAAGAGAGAAUUUACCUGAUGCAGUUGGAGACCAAAUUGCCAAAUCAUCUUCAUCUGGACUGAGUGUAAGCUGCAUAGAGGAGAUGAUGUUCUUCACAAAGUCUGGAGGUUGAGUGUGCAGACAAUCCCAGUGCCAUUGAUUGUCCUUAAACACUUCAUUGACCCUGAUCUUGUCUUGCCU
Molecule: long non-coding RNA, 853 nt
Filed under: Nicotiana benthamiana
Lineage: Eukaryota; Viridiplantae; Streptophyta; Magnoliopsida; Solanales; Solanaceae
Description: long non-coding RNA (NBEN_LNC007326)
Source: RNAcentral